This 449-nucleotide ribosomal RNA is filed under the name uncultured bacterium. Its description in RNAcentral is "partial 16S ribosomal RNA". It matches the Rfam family "Bacterial small subunit ribosomal RNA", at positions 354 to 795 of the family's 1533-position model. The record is from RNAcentral.
GUGGGGAAUAUUGGACAAUGGGCGAAAGCCUGAUCCAGCCAUGCCGCGUGUGUGAAGAAGGUCUUCGGAUUGUAAAGCACUUUAAGUUGGGAGGAAGGGCAGUAAGUUAAUACCUUGCUGUUUUGACGUUACCGACAGAAUAAGCACCGGCUAACUUCGUGCCAGCAGCCGCGGUAAUACGAAGGGUGCAAGCGUUAAUCGGAAUUACUGGGCGUAAAGCGCGCGUAGGUGGUUUUGUAAGUUGUAUGUGAAAUCCCCGGGCUCAACCUGGGAACUGCAUCCAAAACUGCAUGACUAGAGUACGGUAGAGGGUAGUGGAAUUUCCUGUGUAGCGGUGAAAUGCGUAGAUAUAGGAAGGAACACCAGUGGCGAAGGCGACUACCUGGACUGAUACUGACACUGAGGUGCGAAAGCGUGGGGAGCAAACAGAAUUAGAAACCCUAGUAGCC